GCAGCAGGCGCGAAACCUUUACACUGCACGCACGUGCGAUAAGGGGACUCCGAGUGCGAGGGCAUAUCGUCCUCGCUUUCGUGUACCGUAGGGUGGUACACCAACAAGGGCUGGGCAAGACCGGUGCCAGCCGCCGCGGUAAUACCGGCAGCCCGAGUGAUGGCCGAUCUUAUUGGGCCUAAAGCGUCCGUAGCUGGCUGCGCAAGUCCGUCGGGAAAUCCACUCGCCCAACGAGUGGGCGUCCGACGGAAACUGCACAGCUUGGGACCGGAAGGCUCGAAGGGUACGUUCGGGGUAGGAGUGAAAUCCUAUAAUCCCGCACGGACCACCGAUGGCGAAAGCACUUCGAGAAAACGGAUCCGACAGUGAGGGACGAAAGCCAGGGUCUCCAACCGGAUUAGAUACCCGGGUAGUCCUGGCCGUAAACAAUGUUCGCUAGGUAUGACACAGAGGUACGCGUCUCUGUGUGCCGUAGGAAGCCGAGAAGCGAACCGC
This 495-nucleotide ribosomal RNA is filed under the name uncultured haloarchaeon. RNAcentral's name for it is "bacterial SSU rRNA". It matches the Rfam family "Archaeal small subunit ribosomal RNA", at positions 332 to 827 of the family's 1478-position model. Lineage: Archaea; Methanobacteriati; Methanobacteriota; Halobacteria; Halobacteriales; Halobacteriaceae. The record is from RNAcentral.